AAAGCAUAUGCUUCUGUAGAAGCUACACGUCGAUUUCAACUUCAUGUUAAGAAAAUCAUGUUCAUUUUUCAUUCUGUUCAUGU
Sinocyclocheilus grahami is the source of this 83-nucleotide long non-coding RNA. RefSeq lists it as uncharacterized. The record is from RefSeq and is a predicted model, not a curated record. NCBI's taxonomy places the organism in Eukaryota, Metazoa, Chordata, Actinopteri, Cypriniformes, Cyprinidae. The transcript is spliced from 3 exons.